This 2154-nucleotide ribosomal RNA is filed under the name Triticum aestivum (bread wheat). Its description in RNAcentral is "partial small subunit ribosomal RNA". Lineage: Eukaryota; Viridiplantae; Streptophyta; Magnoliopsida; Poales; Poaceae. The record is from RNAcentral.
AUGGUGCUUCCGAUGUCUCCACGAUCCAAGCGAAGUGAGGUGGCGGCCGCUGCUCAGCUACGAACCCCGUCAAGCUCGGCGCUCAUCACAAUUUGCUCUCCGACAACGCUGUUGCGGCCUCUCAUCGAUCUGUCGCCCACGCACCCACCGGGAUUUGAGGCGUCCCCCACCCGCCACUUCUCUACACCAGCUAUUCCUGGAGGGCUGGAGACGCUCUUCCUGCCUGGACGUGAGGCCUUGCUGCCAACCCCUGCUGCUUCCCCGCCCGCGGCCCCCGCGGCACGCCGGAAAACUCUGGCUGGUGUUGCCAUCAGCACAAGUGGCGGCCUCUCCCUUAGGCGCACCAGUGCUCGCAUCAAGACCGGUGGACGCGCUACAAAAGCGCCGGUGGCCAAGCAAGCUGAGAUCCUGGUUUGUCGCAGCCUUGGCAUUGUCAAGAACAACAAGGAUGUGACAGGGGCUGUGCUGGAGGCUCUAGAAGAGCGAUUCAAAGAUCAACUUCCCACUGAUGUGCUUGAAGCGAUGAGAGCCCUGUUCAAGCUCGAUGAUGCUCUGUUCAACAACAUUGAGGAGGCUCAGAUCGACCGUGCUGGGGAGGCUGGACUGGAUCAUGUUGAGGGAGGGGCCCCUUGUUUGAAAAAGUUCCAAGGGCGGCUGCUGCUCCUGUGCACAGCUGGGUGUCUCCUAUGUACUUGUUCGUGUCUACCACUAGGUCAUGUAGUCGUUCCAGAGUUGGCUGGGUUAGACUGUUUCCUUAUGAUUGAACAGCAAAUAAAUGUGUUGAGUUGGAACGUAAGGGGCCUCAACUGCCUAGACCGCCGUGCCGCCGUCCACGAGACCGUCGCGGCUUCCUCCUGUCAAAUAGUAUGUCUACAAGAAACAAAACUUGAAAAUGUUGAUAUGUUCACGGCAAGUUUCCUUGGUGGGCAUAGGUUUCACAAUUUUGCUCAGCGACCAUCUAUUGGUACCCGGGGUGGGAUCCUCAUGCUCUGGGAUGAUGACCAUGUUGUUGUAACUGAUGUGGUGAUCACCACCUUCUGCCUUUCAGCGACAAUACACAUCAAGCACUCCGAUGUCAGCUAUCGAAUCACCGUUGUGUACGGUCCAACAUCCUCCUCCCUCAAGGAGGAUUUCUUCGCGGAGCUGAUUAGUCAGAAGCCGCCGGCAAAGUUACUCCACCAUGCGGUUCUUCUCGUCAUCCUGCAUCUGGACAUCGCACAUGAGUCCAGGCAGCUCUCUACGAUGGAGGCGGACCUUCGGUCCAGGCUCAAAAGGAGAAUAAUUGGGUUUGCGGUACUGUGCUCCGAGGACUCCGACGCUGACGCUGCCGAAUACCUCCGCGAGAUGCAAGGGCCUCCUGGGGAGGCACCGACGGACUUUUUGCAUUGGGGUCAACAAUUUUUACAGUCGUCCUCCCACCCAACCGACGAACGCACUACGCACGCGCCCACCGAGCUCGACCGCCACCGCUCCGUCCUCGUGCCCGGUGAGGACCCCGGCGAGCGUGGACGCAAGAGUGACUCAUGGGGUGACCAUGGAGAGGACGGCGCGCAUGCCCAGCGCGCCCGCCAGCUCCGACAGCGGCCGCAUCCCGCGCUCCUCCUCGGCGCACACGUUCUGCAGCCCGAUGAUGUCUGCUCCCGUCCACGCUCCCGCAGCACCUCCUCCAUGCUCUGCCGCCGGCUUGCGUCCAGCCCGCCCGACACCACCUGCUGCGUCUUCCGGGUCCUCGGGCUGCCGACCAGCCGGCCGCUCCUGUCGAGGUUGCUCCUGCACUUUCAAUAUUCCCUUGGGCCGCGGCUUCGCGCACGCUUCCGUGUUGGGGCCGCUCCGGCGCGCGGCCUCGCACUCCGCUCUAGCUCCUGCUUCAGGGACUGCGGCCACCGCGGGCGCCAUGGAGAACAGCACCGCCCGUCGAGGCGCUGUGGGACGGCUGACACCAACGCGGGAGAAGUACUCGCUGCUGCCCCCGGACUGGAGACGAUGGUGCGGGUAGACAGCGCGGCCGCCCGGGCCGAGUUGCAGCGCGUGCGGGCGAGCACCAGGGAGACCGGUAGCGGCGAGGGACUGGAGGCGGCGGUGAGGGCGUGGGAGAGGUCGCCGCGGGCGCGGGGUGGCGGCAGAGCACCGGCGACGCCAGGAGCAGGACGAUGA